Molecule: long non-coding RNA, 487 nt
Organism: Grus americana (Whooping crane)
Lineage: Eukaryota; Metazoa; Chordata; Aves; Gruiformes; Gruidae
Exons: 3
Source: RefSeq, a predicted model, not a curated record
UAGGCACGUAGUCAUUUGGUACCACCGGAGGACGUACUGGCUCCAACGUACGAUAGGGAGAGUGACGCCUACACAAGUACAAGUGUAUUUCAGAAGCAAAUGAAGAUACCUUGCAGAAGUUUUUUAUAUGUGAGUUAGCAAGCACCCACACUACAGAAGAAAAUGUCUUCUACGUAAGCUGUAACUUCCAGCGCUGGAGCUGGAAUUUCAAGUUUUGCUGAAGAAGAAACUGCAUAAACAACUUAAAAUAAGCAGAUCCUUGGGCGGUCAUUACUUGUUUAUAAUUGCAACUGCAGAGAGCAAGAAUGAAAACUGAGUUUGCAAAUUGUUUUAAGAUCACUGAGAAAACCAUCCUCCAAUUUGAACUGUGCCCAGAAUAAGGCGUAUUCAGCACAGAAAUAUCCAUUUUGUGUGGACAGACAGAAAGAGCCAGGAAGGAGCUCUAUUUUGCAAUUCUCAAAUAAAAAGCAUUUAAACACUAUAUGAC